RNAcentral lists this microRNA precursor (78 nucleotides) under Ovis aries (sheep). RNAcentral's name for it is "miRNA (ENSOARG00000022713.1)". Lineage: Eukaryota; Metazoa; Chordata; Mammalia; Artiodactyla; Bovidae. The record is from RNAcentral.
UCGGGUUGGCGAAAAAGUUUGUUUGGGUUUUCUCAUAAGAUGGUAUGAAAACCGAAUGAACAUUUUGGCCAACCCAAU